ACACUCCUACGGGAGGCAGCAGUGGGGAAUAUUGCACAAUGGGCGCAAGCCUGAUGCAGCCAUGCCGCGUGUAUGAAGAAGGCCUUCGGGUUGUAAAGUACUUUCAGCGGGGAGGAAGGCAAUACGGUUAAUAACCGUGUUGAUUGACGUUACCCGCAGAAGAAGCACCGGCUAACUCCGUGCCAGCAGCCGCGGUAAUACGGAGGGUGCAAGCGUUAAUCGGAAUUACUGGGCGUAAAGCGCACGCAGGCGGUCUGUCAAGUCGGAUGUGAAAUCCCCGGGCUCAACCUGGGAACUGCAUUCGAAACUGGCAGGCUUGAGUCUUGUAGAGGGGGGUAGAAUUCCAGGUGUAGCGGUGAAAUGCGUAGAGAUCUGGAGGAAUACCGGUGGCGAAGGCGGCCCCCUGGACAAAGACUGACGCUCAGGUGCGAAAGCGUGGGGAGCAAACAGGAUUAGAAACCCCAGUAGUCCCAUG
This 475-nucleotide ribosomal RNA is filed under the name uncultured organism. RNAcentral describes it as "partial 16S ribosomal RNA". It matches the Rfam family "Bacterial small subunit ribosomal RNA", at positions 333 to 799 of the family's 1533-position model. The record is from RNAcentral.